Long non-coding RNA from Solanum pennellii, 1552 nucleotides. RefSeq lists it as uncharacterized. NCBI's taxonomy places the organism in Eukaryota, Viridiplantae, Streptophyta, Magnoliopsida, Solanales, Solanaceae. The record is from RefSeq and is a predicted model, not a curated record. The transcript has 2 exons.
CUCUAGUUAUAUUCUUCUUAUUCUUUGUUCCUUUUUAAUUCUUCCGCCCUUUCCUUUUCCCCGUUAUCUUUCCAUCCUUUCCUUUCAAUCAUGUCUGCCUUCCAUAAGUCAAACGACCCUUCGCCUUACCCCUUCUCUUUAUUACCUUCUUCUUCCCUCUUUCUUUCCUCUCCCAUUUCCUCUUCCAGUUCCUUUGAAAUCGACUUCAUCUCCUCCGAAUCUUCAGAGGCAGAGUCGCUUGACUCUUCUCCUUCAACCAAAAAGCGCCCCUCUAAAGAAAAGAAGAAGAAAGCAAAUAAACCUCGUCCAACGCUUCCUGAGUCCUUUUCUGAUGAAGACUCUUCGAAGUUUUGGGGUUUGGAGCACAAAUAAGAUAUGUGGCGUUCUCUAAACGUCCAAUUGUUCCUAGAUGAGUAAUUAACUUGGAACAACUUGAAGCAUCUCACUGCGCGGUAAGUUUGUUCGUUCAUGCUCAAAAACUAUCUCUGUUACUUCGUCUGUGUGAGCUAGAAUUUUUUGAAGAACAUGUGCGUCUCUUUUAUGCAAAUCUUUCCUGAUAAUGGUGAAUAAGAAACCCUUGUUCUGGGGAAUCGUAUUGUGUUAAAUGAUUUUCUGUUUAAAGAUGUGUUUGGAUCUGAGUUUUCUGGUGAUAUUCCCUUUAUACAUUGUAAUUUAUGGCCUGAAAAUUUUGAAACAUCCUUGGAUAAUGCUAAAUUUUUUGUCUCUGAAUCUGGCGCUGAUCUUACCGCUUUUGUUCCUCUUUAUCUUGGCUUUGAGAAUCGCACACUCACUCAUAUUGUGGCCAAAACUCUCAUACAUUAGAAGGGUUCACUCAGUAACAUCUCCAAUAGAGAUGUUUAUGUACUUUACUGUCUUCUGAAGAAGUUUCCCAUUAACUGGGCAACGUGGUUCCAUGAAUACAUGGUGGAAAGCUUGGCGGACAGUAACAUUUCUUCCUGUCUACCAUAUGGCUUACUAAGAUCGCGCAUCAUAAUUGACUCACUAGUGGAUCUCUCUCCAUACACUCUGGUUCAUAUUGAUGAUACAUACGACACUCGCACCUUCUCAAGUUAGGGUUAUGUUCUGGUCGAUACAAAAUGGUACAAGAAGGAAACUGUGCAACAAAGAGCUGAUAACCCAAAAGUAACUCGUAACUCUGCCGACUCUGCUUCUUCAAGAGACCGACAAAAUAAAGUUGGAAGUUGAUGGACUUAAAAAGUAGGCACUUCGAUCAGUCAACUCUAUACUCAAAGGAGUCAACUCUAUCAAAAUAGGAGCUACCUCAGCUCACAAUGAAUUGGCUGUCAAUGUGAACACCUCCUUUUCCAACUUCUCCAAAAAUGUGGAGCGACCAUAUGACAAAUUCUGUAGGAAUGUGAUCAGCACGCUUACGUACUUCCUUGGUAAACAUUAAAGUGCUGAUUUGUCUUUCUCGUUUGGAUAAGACUACUGUUGGAGCUAUAUCUCCUUUCUUAUUUUACCUUUUGGACUGUAAUAUUGAGGCGUCGUCCUCAACUCUACAUCAUUGUCUAGUUGUUUUGGAUUUGGUUUA